RNAcentral lists this long non-coding RNA (959 nucleotides) under Homo sapiens (human). RNAcentral's name for it is "long intergenic non-protein coding RNA 1013". The record is from RNAcentral. Lineage: Eukaryota; Metazoa; Chordata; Mammalia; Primates; Hominidae.
CUCUUUUCGGACUCAGCCCACCUGCACCCAGGUGAAAUAAACAGCUUUACUGCUCUCACACAAAGCCUGUUUGGUGGUCUCUUCACACGGACGCGCAUGAAAUUUGGUGCCAUGACUCGGAUCGGGGGACCUCCCUUGGGAGAUCAAUCCCCUGUCUUCCUGUUCUUUGCUCCGUGAGAAAGAUCCACCUACAACCUCAGGUCCUCAGACCGACCAGCCCAAGGAACAUCUCACCAAUUUUAAAUCAGGAGCUUACUACACGUGCCGGCAAUCUGGCCACUGGGCCAAGGAAUGCCCGCAGCCCGGGAUUCCUCCUAAGCCGCGUCCCAUCUGUGUGGGACCCCACUGGAAAUCGGACUGUUCAACUCACCUGGCAGCCACUCCCAGAGCCCCUGGAACUCUGGCCCAAGGCUCUCUGACUGACUCCUUCCCAGAUCUUCUUGGCUUAGCGGCUGAAGACUGACACUGCCCGAUUGCCUUGGAAGCCCCCUAAACCAUCACGGAUGCCGAGCUUCGGGUAACUCUCACAGUGGAAGAAGGCAGGAAUGUCAGGCCUCUGAGCCCAAGCCAAGCCAUCGCAUCCCCUGUGAUUUGCACAUAUACACCCAGAUGGCCUGAAGUAACUGAAGAAUCACAAAAGAAGUGAAUAUGCCCUGCCCCACCUUAACUGAUGACAUUCCACCACAAAAGAAGUGUAAAUGGCCGGUCCUUGCCUGAAGUGAUGACAUUACCUUGUGAAAGUCCUUUUCCUGGCUCAUCCUGGCUCAAAAAGCACCCCCACUGAGCACCUUGCGACCCCCACUCCUGCCCGCCAGAGAACAACCCCCCUUUGACUGUAAUUUUCCUUUACCUACCCAAAUCCUAUAAAACGGCCCCACCCUUAUCUCCCUUCGCUGACUCUCUUUUCGGACUCAGCCUGCCUGCACCCAGGUGAUUAAAAGCUUUAUUGCUCACACAAA